This is a long non-coding RNA of Capsella rubella, 1118 nucleotides long. RefSeq lists it as uncharacterized. The record is from RefSeq and is a predicted model, not a curated record. The transcript is spliced from 6 exons. NCBI's taxonomy places the organism in Eukaryota, Viridiplantae, Streptophyta, Magnoliopsida, Brassicales, Brassicaceae.
CUCGUCCGGCAACUUUCCCGGCGACUUUUCUGAGAUUUCCCAUGAUCAUCAAUGAAAUCCGCGACACCGUAAUCAAGAGAUUAGUCGAUAAAGAUGUUGUAUACGAAGUUGGAUCAUCCUGGUUCUACUUUGUAUCCUGAGGUUGCAGAUGGCUGGUCUUUUUAAGGACUUACAAGCAAUGUUUUUUGGAAAUCCACUUAAUGACUUGAAGAUGUGAAACUUUGAUGUUGAUUGGUGAAAAUAACCAGGCCACCUCACAAAUUCAGAACCAUCUAUGAAGGAGAUGCCUGUGAUAUAUUUGUUUGUCCCCUCAGGUGAAGUUGACUAAGAUAAACCCUGAAACCACGGUAGAAGGCUCUCCCUUUCCCAAGAGCAAGCGGUGGAUGGUCUUGAUUGAUGCUGCAAAGGGUUGUGCUACACUCCAAUAAAAGGCGAAUGAGUUUGUUUAGUGAGUACUCAGAUGCAGCUAAAUGCCUCAAGGAUCAAAGGUCUGCUAGCACAGGAUGAUAUUGUUAAUUCCAUGUAAGAUAAAGCAGCAAAAGAGCUUCUGAAUGUGAGCCGUGAUCAGUAUUAAUACCAACAGCUUACAAUGGAUUUGAUUGGUCAGGUUUCUACUUGAACAAAAAUGAAUGGUCUUCUUUAGUACCUAAGAUUAUUUAGGUGGGUUUUAAUCAUAAAUCAUAGGCUAUAGUGUGUUUGGUCAUCUUUUUUAUAUCUUGUGAGAAAGGCCAAUAAGUUACAGAAGAGAAACGAUGUUGAAUAGAAAUAAUUUGUGUGCUUGGUGUUUAGAACGGUCUUAAAAAAAGCAAAUAUGGAAAUGGAGUUCUGUUGCAGCUCAGAGGAAGUGGUGUUAGCAUCUCGUGAUGGGAAGUUUGUUGUGUGAGAACACACUUGAUGCACGAUGGGAUGUUGCAUUCUGUAUGAAGCUUCCGAAGAUUCGUAGGAUACUGUUUGGUCAAGUUGUGAUUCUUUUGUACUCACAGCCAACAAAAUUGUGUUUGUUCACAUACUUUGCUGCGAACCCAACCAAACUGCGUUUUGUUUUCCAUCUUCUUCCAUUUGUUUUGUGGCUAUGAAAAUCAUAAAUAUAUGUUGUUUAUUAUAGAGUUUUGGCUUGA